Molecule: ribosomal RNA, 694 nt
Filed under: uncultured bacterium
Lineage: Bacteria
Description: bacterial SSU rRNA
Rfam family: Bacterial small subunit ribosomal RNA
Source: RNAcentral
AACGCUAGCUACAGGCUUAACACAUGCAAGUCGAGGGGUAACAAGAGGAAAGCUUGCUUUUCUUGUUGACGACCGGCGCACGGGUGAGUAACGCGUAUCCAACCUGCCUAUAACUAGGGAAUAACCUUGCGAAAGUAAGACUAAUACCCUAUGAUUUCCUUUGAUGACAUCAGAUUAGGAAUAAAGAUUUAUCGGUUAUAGAUGGGGAUGCGUCUGAUUAGCUUGUUGGCGGGGUAACGGCCCACCAAGGCAACGAUCAGUAGGGGUUCUGAGAGGAAGGUCCCCCACAUUGGAACUGAGACACGGUCCAAACUCCUACGGGAGGCAGCAGUGAGGAAUAUUGGUCAAUGGGCGGAAGCCUGAACCAGCCAAGUAGCGUGCAGGAUGACGGCCCUAUGGGUUGUAAACUGCUUUUAUACAGGAAUAAAGUUAGCCACGUGUGGUUAUUUGUAGGUACUGUAUGAAUAAGGACCGGCUAAUUCCGUGCCAGCAGCCGCGGUAAUACGGAAGGUCCAGGCGUUAUCCGGAUUUAUUGGGUUUAAAGGGAGCGUAGGCCGUCUGUUAAGCGUGUUGUGAAAUGUAGAUGCUCAACAUCUGAAUUGCAGCGCGAACUGGCAGACUUGAGUGUGCGCAACGUAGGCGGAAUUCGUGGUGUAGCGGUGAAAUGCUUAGAUAUCACGAAGAACUCCGAUUG